AGUUAUGUUAAACUUUCCUAGCAGUCCUUCACAAACAGGGAACAGUCUGUCUAUUCUCUCCAUCUGUCAGCUGCUGCUGGCUCUUCCUCCUCCUCUUCCUCACACACUGCUGAGUUUGUCCUGGUGGAUCAUCAGGGCUGCAAAGCCUCACAGAUGAUGUGCAGCAGUGGGUCCCUCAGUCUGUCCUCACUCUGGACACUUGCAGUCGUCACACAUGGAAAUCAAAUGUGUGAUAAGCUGCAGGAUUCAAACACAAGUGUGACUUAUAAACACAUGUUCAUACUUUUAUUCCACAAUCAGAGAGAAAGAAACAGAGAGAGAGUGCAGGACAGACAGACAGGUGACAGUCUCAGGUGUACACACUGCUACAAACAGGAGGAUUUAGUGUUUGUGUUAUUACGAGUGUAAACAAGAAGAGUUCCAGAUGGUGCAGUGGACACAUGUGUGACUGCUGUGAUUAAAGCAUCUUUCUUUCAGCUUAACGAGUGAACCGUCAGCUCGUUCAAACACACGUUAAAGUCCGUUUGGCUCGACACCAGCGAACAGAGGCAGCAAUAUAACACAGCUAACAUUAACAGUGCAGUGGAUCCUGCUUGUGCCGUCAUAUUCAGGACUGCAAACCGAGCAGCAUCACUGACUUUCAGCCUGUUGUGUUUGUGGAUAUAUGACUGACUUUAAUUAUCCAUAAAUCAUCAGAUUCUCUGUAAGAUUAAAGUCAACUAUUGAACGGUGGAUAUUUUGAAGUAAAGGCUUUAAAACCAAGUUAGUACAAACGUCACUAAUGUCACAUAACUUUGCCGACAUGUGGCCAACAGCAAUGUUUUAAUUAGUGAUGGGACGUUCUGUAUCGAGGCUUUGAAGCUUGUGUCGAGUAAUGGAGGGGGCGUUUCCGCGAUGCGCGUAUCGAGGCUUGCUUCAUUUAUGGGAGGAGCUGAAAAUGAUGACGUCCGAAGCCUCGCUGCCCGGCUGUACCACGUGACUGGUUCAUGAAGUGGUUUGAACUUUGCCGCGAGAUAUGACAGCGAUAUAAACCCUCAGACUUCAUUCAAAAUGUGGGUGUUUGAUGGAGAGUUGUUAGUGAGAGUUUGGAGACAGUUUGGAGGUUUAUGAGAGUGAGGAGAGAAAGUCAGGAGAGAAUGGAGCCAGCUAAGAAGAGGAGGAUGUCCUCCCCUGUGUGGGAACAUUUUGAUCUUAUUCCUCCCAACAAGGUAUGUAAAUUUCUACAGAAGAUGUAUUUUCAUGAUACUGAUGGUGCAAUACAAUUUAUGUUGAGCUGUCUGUACUUUUGUACAAGGUGAAGUGUUUGCUAUGUGCCAGGCAGCUGGGAUAUAACAACACCUCAUCCAUGCUUAGGCACUACAGAGCUUUGCAUGAGAAUAAGGGGGACACCGAUUGUGGAGCAAGACCAGGAGAACAAUCUCCAAUAGAUGAAGACCUGGUUAGCAACAAUGCUAGUGCUAGCGGCGCUAACGGCUGCAGACAGGAAGAUACUGCCAGCACCGGAAACGUGCUCGUCAUCUCCGAGCAUGAAGUAAGGAGAGCCUUCAAGAGAGUGAACACCAGGAAAGCAGCAGGACCAGACGGCAUCCCAGGUCGUAUCCUCAGAGACUGCGCAUACCAGCUAGCUCCUGUGUUCACUGAGAUAUUCAACAUCUCUUUAUCUCAGUCGGUGAUCCCCACAUGCUUCAAAGAGUCCAUCAUUGUUCCUGUCCCGAAGAAACCCCACCCUGCUUCUCUCAAUGACUAUCGCCCUGUAGCCCUCACCUCAGUAGUGAUGAAGUGCUUUGAACGCCUGGUCAGAGACUUCAUCAUUUCUUCACUACCAGACACACUGGACCCACUACAGUUCGCUUACCGUCCAAAUCGUUCCACAGACGAUGCCAUCUCUCAUCUCCUCCACACAUCACUCACUCACUUGGACACUAGAAGGGGG
Molecule: long non-coding RNA, 1933 nt
Organism: Astatotilapia calliptera (eastern happy)
Lineage: Eukaryota; Metazoa; Chordata; Actinopteri; Cichliformes; Cichlidae
Source: Ensembl